UAGGGAAUCUUCGGCAAUGGGGGGAACCCUGACCGAGCAACGCCGCGUGAGUUAAGAAGGUUUUCGGAUCGUAAAGCUCUGUUGUUAAGGAAGAACGAGUGUGAGAAUGGAAAGUUCAUACUGUGACGGUACUUAACCAGAAAGGGACGGCUAACUACGUGCCAGCAGCCGCGGUAAUACGUAGGUCCCGAGCGUUGUCCGGAUUUAUUGGGCGUAAAGCGAGCGCAGGCGGUUAGAUAAGUCUGAAGUUAAAGGCAGUGGCUCAACCAUUGUAGGCUUUGGAAACUGUUUAACUUGAGUGCAGAAGGGGAGAGUGGAAUUCCAUGUGUAGCGGUGAAAUGCGUAGAUAUAUGGAGGAACACCGGUGGCGAAAGCGGCUCUCUGGUCUGUAACUGACGCUGAGGCUCGAAAGCGUGGGGAGCGAACAGG
Molecule: ribosomal RNA, 429 nt
Filed under: Bacteroidota bacterium
Lineage: Bacteria; Pseudomonadati; Bacteroidota
Description: Bacteroidetes bacterium partial 16S ribosomal RNA
Rfam family: Bacterial small subunit ribosomal RNA
Source: RNAcentral